Molecule: long non-coding RNA, 13940 nt
Filed under: Homo sapiens (human)
Lineage: Eukaryota; Metazoa; Chordata; Mammalia; Primates; Hominidae
Description: non-protein coding lnc-SMIM2-2:1
Source: RNAcentral
ACAUGGCUCAGACUCCGCAGAGAGCAGAUUGCUGAUAAUGGCCAUCCCGUCUCCUGGCCCUCUCCCAGAAGAACCAUAUUUAAGCUCUCAGUUGAUGUGAAUGCCCGGAAAACAUUACUCUCCAGGGCAGUGGGAAGUCUGUCCAUUCCAUGGAGAUUAUCAGCUGAAACAAGGCUGUUUCCCGUCAGACCUGCUUAAGCCAUGUCAAGGUGUAAGAGUAACUGGAUGCUUUACGUAAACAAAAGGACAAAUGAAGGCCAAGCUGGAGUCUCACCUACCUGACUUUUACAGCAUUGCUGAAAUGCCUUUCCAUAAAGAAGACAACUUCAUUCAACUCUUCAAUCUCAAGAUUACAGCCAUUUUCUGCACAGAGAAGGGUACACACUGAGGCAUCCACAAGACCUUGAUUUCAAACAAAUUUGUCUUCCUUUCAGUUAACACUAACAAAGCUACCAUUGAUGGAAACUAAAGGCAUUAAAACCCAGAGCACAUCCCCCAGCAUGAGAAAAUGAAUCAGACGAUGACCGCUUUGAGAAAUGGGCUCUGUGCUGGGACACACUGGGCUGUCUCCUCAGUACAGUCCCAGGCAGGACUUCAUUAUAAACCGCAGCCCCACCUCACACAGCGCCUCCUCAGCAUGACUCACUCACAAAAUCAUCCCUGCUGGUGGGAUGGCCGGCCUCUAACGAUGGAUUUGCUGUGCUGUUUCAUGGAAAACAACAACAACAACAACAAAAAACACACCAUAAACCAAAGACUUAAUGUCCAGCUGGUGGCUGGGACACCUUGGUGAAGAGGACCCAGUAAACUCAGGGAGGCUAGUGGUGCUGUUUGUGUCUCAUGUGGCCCACACCAGCCCACUGGCUGUUCACAAUACAUUCAUCUAGUGUUACUUCAGGGGGCCUCCAGGCCGACCUCCUAACUGAAAACAUCAUAGACCUUUCACGCAAGUGUUCAACGUGCUGGUGUUUACUCCUGCUGCUGGGCAUUCAAAACAACUGCUGAUCCCUCAUGUUCUCCUUACCUUUGUUCCCCUCCUUGCGAGUUGGGUGUAGGCCCCAAUCAGCCUCUGCAGGCCUCUCUGAACCUCAUGGUCUGAGUUUGAGGGGACCCAAGAGCUUGCCUUCUUAUUUUACAGAUGGGGAUACAGAGGCCCAGAGACUCUGUGCACCUUGUCAAGGUCCCAGCGCUAAGUCUAGAAACUAGCUGUCAUGUCAUAUCCCUUGGUCUCGGGAUAUUUUCACUUAUCCAUUCAACACGUGACAAGCAUUUCAAUAAGCCAGCUCUUUGAGGAGCUGGGAACAGGGAGAUGAAAUGGGCCUCUGCCCUGAGCAGCCCCUGGUCUUUGAUGUUAUGAUGGCAAGAAGCACUGGGAGCUAACAUCAAAGGGAGAGAGGCCUUCGGAUGCUUAGAAAGAGUCUCCCCACAGUUGCUAUCCUCCUCUGAAUGCGGCUCAAACCAAAUCAGCACAAAUCCGCUAAAUAAAACCACUGGAAAACAAGGUCAAAGUGACAGAGGCCAAGAGCACCAACAAAAGUGCCUUCUUAUCCAUCUUGGAGCCAAGCUGAAGAGCGGCCCCAAGUGACCAACGGUGGGACUCACGGCUGGGCCUUGUCCCCCCACCCCAGCACAGCCUUGGAUGAAUCACACACCAGAGAACAACAGGGCUAUUUCUCACCAGUCAUUUGUCAAGCUGACAUCCCUGCCUAGAGUUAUUUAGGGCUUUCUAAAGACACUUCUUUCCCUCCCUGCCGCAGGAAGCACCUGCACGGCUGUUGAGUUGUGGUUUUGCUCAAUAGCGCUUUGAUAUCCCUUAAGGCCUUCAUCAAUUACUCUUCUGUCCCUGAUGGGUUGGACUUUGGCUGAGGCAAAGACAGGGAAGCUUAGAGAGGAUGAUGGAGAGGAAGAGGAUGGUGAGUUCCUCUGAGAUCUGAGGCCAGCCACUGUCUGGAGGUGGGCUCUUAUUGAUUUCUGUGGGGGAACCUUCAGGAGAGGACAGUCUGAGUUCUUGGCCAGCUGGACUUGGACCAUAACUGCCAUGUUCCCAUGAGGACAGGUCCCCCUCCUGGAACAGAGCUAUGCUCCUGCCAGCUACUUAGAGGAAAAGAGCAGGCCUGUCAGAUGAGUGUGACUGGAGCAAACCUGGUCUUCCGAUUCAGCUAAAUGACAUAAGGCAGAGGGGACUUGGAGCGGGAUCAGGGAAGAAAAACGGAAAUAAUGAGAAGACUCAGUGAAUGGAUCUCUGAAAGCAGUUAGGAGAAUUUGAGUUGUUGAGUCUAGAGGAGGCAAGAGUGAACUAAGAAUUAGCUUUGAUUAUAGGCAGAAAAACUGUGCAUAAAUUAGUGGUCAUUUCUACUGAAAAUAUGGUGUGGGUUGGAUUCUUGCUUCCAUGGCUGCCCGAGGAUUUUGCUCCAGUGUGCUGGCCUGUCUGGGUUAUUGCAUUAUUCUUAUUCAUGAGGUGGUGGGUCUCCUUCCUUGGAGAUUUGCAUGAAUGGAAAUGACAUCCUCCCAGAUGGAAUGGUUUAGGGAAAGUCUUCACGACACAUAUGUUUCUUCCCUUCAGUUUGCACUGCCCAACAUCCCAGCUUGACCCUUAUGUCUGAAUCAGUUUAGCAGCCUCUUGACUAGUAUACAGAUGUUCCAUCUCUGCCUCCUUCAGUCCACUCUGCCUAUGGAGGUCCCACUUAUCUUCCUUAAAUUCAUCUUGGAUAAUGGCAAUGUCCUGCUAAAAAUAUGUUGAUGCCUAUUUAUUUAUUCAUCCAACAAAUACUGAGCACCUAUUGUCUUGAGCACCGAUUAUGUGCCUGCUGCUUACUCCCGGGCAUACAACAUGGCACAAAGUGUAGUAGGGCCUCAUCAAGGCAUUCACUCAGCCUUCCUGUCCUUGUCCUGGAACCUUUUAAGGCCUCAUCAUCUGCUUUUAACAGAUCUUUCUGACCUUUUGCCCACACAAAACCUUUUCUUCCAGCCUAGCCCAUUCACCAUGAUAACCCACCUGGUGUCUUUCUUGUCACCCCAACUUCUGGAUAGACUAUCCUUAUUCGGAGCCCAUCUCUCCUGUGAAGCUAACACAAGUCUCCUUGCCUUUAGGAGGAUUUCCAUGGCCGCUUGGGUUUUAGAAUUCUCUAGCACCUCUGUCCCCACAGUGUUUCUUCCUUAGCACUGGGUAUGUUCUUCCUGAGUGGAGAGAACUGGCAGCUGCUGUGCCUGCCCUGACCUCCUGUGGCCUCACUCGCCGUGGACAAGUCCUGAGAGAGCUGGAACCUGUGGACAUUCUUUCCCUGUCCGUGCUCUGCUGUGGAUGAUGACAGGGGCAGCUCAGGUGUUUGCUGGGGCUUCCAGAGCAUUUGACACCAUUAAGAAGACGGAGAGUAUACUGAAUGUCUAAACUUAAAGGGGGAGAGGCUUUGGGGAUCAUUUAAUAAAACGACCUUGUUUUGCAGAUAUGGAAACUGAGAACCAGAGAAACUGAUUUACCCAAAACCACAAGGUGACGUAGUAGCAGAGUCAAAUCUUGUCCACUGUUAAGUUUAGCCUAAAGCUCCCUCCUUAUAUAUUUUAAGUUCAUCCUAAAGGUUUCUUCAUACAUAGUGAGCUGUAACCUAAUGGAUGUGUGAACAGACUGUAACUUGCUGUUGUGCCAAUCAUCAAGUUUUGGCCAGUCAAGGCCGUCCAACUGUUUAAAUGGUGUUCAAUAAGGUAAACACUGAGCUGUGAUCAAUCUGGCUGUUUCUGUACCUCAAUUCUGUUUUCUGUGCAUCACUUUCCUUUUUCUGUCCAUAAAUCUUCUUUGUCACCGUGGCAGCAACAGAGUCCCUCUGAACCUAUUCUGGUUCUGGGGCUACCAAGUCAUGAAUUAUUCUUUGCUCAAGUAAACUCUGUUAAAUUUAAUUUGUCUAAGAUUUUUCUUUUAACUAAACUAUCCUGUCUCCAUAUAGUUCAGCAGUUGGAAUCCUAAGGAACCUAACAUUUCAGGACACACGUAAAACAAAUAGAAAGUGUAUUAAUUUCCUAUUGUGCUUGUGACAGAUAACCAUAGAUUUAGUGGCUUACACAAGACAGAUUUAUUAUCUUGCAGUCUGUAGGUCAGAAGUCUAACAUGGGUCUUACCAGGCUGAAUUCAAAGUGUUGACAGUGCUGUGUUCCUUUCUGGGGGCCCCAGGGAAGAAUCUGUGUUUCUACCUUCUCUACUUUCUACAGGCUGCUGGUACCCCUUGUGGCUCCUUCUUCCAUCUCCCAGGCCAGCAAUGUCAGGCUGAGCUUUUCUCACAUUGUCUCAUGGACUGACCUAAUCUUCUGCCUCCUCCUUCUAUUUUUAAAGACCCUUGUGAUUACAUUGGGCCCAUCUGGAUAAUCCAGGAUAAUCUCCCAUUUUAAGUCAUUGUAAUAGCAAUCUCAAUUCCCCUUUGGCCAUACAACAUUACAUAUUCAUGGGUUCCAGGGAUUAGGAUGUGAGUAUCUCUGGGCAGCCAUUAUUCUACCUACUACAGGAAAGAGGAAAAUGAGGACAAAAACUCCACACACUCUCUCUUGCUUUCUCAAUUUCUUUAAUUCUCUAUGAGGAGAAACAGUUAAUUUGAAGAUGUUCUAGACCUCUAUAUUCAACCUCAGGAUUUUGUUCUGAGUCAUGAUCUGGUGAAUUUGGUCAAGACACGAAGGAAAGGAAUAAAGAUGCCAAAACAUACAGAAAAGAGGCUCACAAAUGUUGACUAAGAGGGUUUAAGAACUAAGAGGAGACCCUCUAGUUUUUGUUUGUUUGUUCUUUUGUUUUUUGAAACUGAGUCUCACUCUGUUGCCCAGGCUGGAGUGCUGUGGUGCAAACUUGGCUCACUGCAACCUCCGCCUCCCAGGUUCAAGCAAUUCUCCUGCCUCAGCCUCCUGAGUAGCUGGGAUUACAGGUGCAUGCCAUCACCCCUGGCUAAUUUUUGUAUUUUUAGUAGAGACGGGGUUUCGCCAUGUUGGUCAGGCUGGACUCGAACUCCUGACCUCAAGUGAUCCACCCACCUUGGCCUCCCAAAGUUCUGGGAUUACAGGCGUGAGCCACCAUGCCCAGCUGACUCUCUAGUUUCUAAUGGCUUGAGAAUUCCCCUCUUUAAGGGUAUGGGCUUAAUUUGCAAAAGGUGAGUUGAUGUGAGACAUCUAGAUGGAACGCCCAACUUCAAGGCCUAUUGGUCAGUAAAAUCAGCUAAUAAGAGUGGAGGGAGUGGGGGAAUGUCCCAGAAAAUUUAAGGAAGGAAUCAACUAAUUUCAAGUUGGAAGGGUUUUACGGACUCAUGAUCUCACAGAGUCUAAAGGACCUUAGGAACUUCCUUGUCCAGCCUCACACCAAACGCAAGACGGCCAUAGAUCUUCACCCUUUUUUGUGAGGCUCUGGUUAGGGGUAGGAAAUCAUCUAGAUUCCCUUAGAUCUUCUCUAAUUCUCUGAGUCCAUCACAAAUUUCAUCUCUAAUUAAUUAUUGGUAUUGAUGGAAAAAUCAGGCAAACGAUUCUUUCUGAUUUUUUCUCUGCCAGAACACUAGGAUGUUGAUUGUUACUAUAUCUUCGUGUGGAGGGUCUAAGAUCUCCUAGGCCACAUGUAGUAUUUAAUCCUCACUUAUGAGACUGUGAGGACAGGGAGAGAGAUCCGAGGGAGGAAAUAUCUGCUAGCAGACUUGGUGGCCUUCACGGAGGUCUCCUCCUCAGAUGUUGUAGUGGCUGUUGUUCAAUCUGCCUAGCACCCCUCUCCCACCUCUUCUGGUAACAGACCCAGUUCCUUUAGCUGCUUAGGGGGAACAUGUCAUAGUGAAUGGGCCAAUCCACAUAAUUCCUAGAGGAACUUUUCAAUCCUUGUGGGUUGGGAGAUGCCUAUCUACUCAGGUCACAAGCUUCGGGGAAGUACACGUUGCUGAUGGCCACAUCCCCACCUUAUGGAGAGUGAGCAGGUCUGGGAAGACGGCAUCAGACAGGAGCACAAAGGAGAGGGAGGGAGUCCUGAGGGUGUUUUCAGGUCCCUCAGUCCACCAUCCUUCGUUAUGGUUCAGUUACAUGAACAAAUACAUUUCCCUUUCAGGCUUAAGCUAGUUUAAGAUGUAUUUCUUCUAUUGGCAACCCAUGAGUCCUGAGUAAUUUAGAAUUUUUCAUUCUCAGUUUUCCUGCUUUCUAGAGAGUUGGAAGAAUGAACUAAAGAUCAGAAACUUUUCUUCUCAGAGUCCAACUGGUCCAUGAUGGUUUGGGGAAGAACCUGCAGAAAGAGAGGGCAGGAAAUUAGCAAGGUGAGAAAUCACAAAGGUUCUUAUAUACAGGAUCCAGUUGGUGAAUUGCAGGGUCCUGUUAUCUUUGCUCCUUUUUAGAUCUCCACUUGCCUAAAAUAAAUCAUGACCCUACACUUUCAAAGAUCCAGGCCAACCUUGGGGCCCCAAGGUGAGUUUUUUUCUGUCUUGUGAAACUGGUGCUACUUGUGUGGUGUAAAUCAGAGGGUUAGCAAGUAUUCAGUGGAUUUGCUGGUAAGCCCAACCUUUUGACAAAAGAGGGGGAAGAAAGAAAUAAAAGUAGGGGUGGGGGAAGUAAGCUAGAAGAAUAAGGAGAGAGAUAGAGAUGUGACUCCAUCAACAAAAUACUGAUUGAGUAUCUUCUACGUGUAAGACUGUGCUAGUUUCAACUUGCCAUUCUAAAUCAACAAAUAGAACCCUUAUUUGUGACUACAGAGGCUGAGAGUUAGGUGUGUCUGGUGUAAGACAGAUGCACACCCAGGUAUGACCAGCAAGCAGCAAAGUCAAUAGGCAAUUACUCAGGAAGGCUGUUAUGGAAGGAAUGAGAAUGAAUGGGCCCACGCUGACUUAGAAAUUAAGUUAAAACAUAUGGCAAAUGUUUUUCUGAUAUGCACUUAAAGCCUGGAACAGUCCAAGAGGCCCUGGGUUUCCCUGAGAGGGAGGCUUUUAGGAAGAGUGUAGGCUGCCUGUGGCUGCUGCACCUAACUGGAUUACAGGCCUCUGUGACGCUGCCCAUCACAUCUGCUUUUCAGUAAUGCCGUAGGGGAGGCAAGCUGUCCCCUUAGACCCUUAGCAUGAUCUGUCUAUGGGUUUCACAUUUUUUCCUGGCAGAGUUAGUUUUUCGUGUUUGUUUUGUGAAGAAAAACUUUGUAUACUUCUUUCCUUUUUUUUCCUUUGCAAUAAAGUGUUGAACAAAAUGUAUACUAUUUUGUCCAAACUUUUUAAGCUUCCAGAUUUGGAUAUGGUGUUUAUGUCUGUGGCUUUUAGAAAGUCUGAAUGGAUCUGAAAGGUCAGAAAAUACCUAAACAUUUGACUCUACCCUUCAGCUCACACGUGAUUGGCUGUGCAUUGUUUUAUUUUUAAAAAUGGUAAAUGAGAAACUAUUCUUUAGUCAUAUCUUGUUCUCAGAGCCUUUCCCCCUCUUGCAGACUGUGCCGCCACCCAAAAGCUUGAAAACACCCCAGGAAGCCAUCCCCUCAUUGUGAAAUGACUAAUCACCACACACCACUUGGUUUUCCUUCCUGGACGUCAUAGGCCAUAGCCCUGUAGUUCCCACAUUGUCUCUGUCAUCAUCCCAAGGAGUGUGACUCUUGAUUCUGAGCCUGGGCAGGACAGCCUGUCUCAGCACAGGCUGUUAUAUAAGCGGCUGUGGGGAGAGCUGGCAAUAAACAAACAUUUUUCCAGCCCUUGUUUUCUCUGCAGCCUUGAAAAAUAUUUUUCUGGGGCUGCUGCUGUGCUCCUGCAACAGGAUGGCAAAUUCCCAGCUUAGAAAUGUCUUGCUCUGCAUUUCCAGAUUCUAAAAUCAGAACAAAGUGAACCAGCAUGUUCAAAGGAACUGAAAUUUUGAGAGCCAGGACACAUAGAUGGGUUUCUCGACAAGCGGCUUUGCAGCAGUCUUUCCAAAGUUUCAUCCACACAUCCUGACGGCGAGUAACCAUUGGGAAAUUACAUGGUGACUUUAGGGCCACAGAGAGGAGAAUCAGAAGAUGACAGGAACUCACUUGGGAAUGGAGAAGUGAUGUUAUGGCUGCCAGUGUCAAAGUCAGACCCACUGUAUAAACACAGACAUUCACACAUAUGAGAACCAUGGGACUGAACAUUGGUAAAGUCCGUUCCUCCUUGGGCCACUCCAUCUUGGAAACUCAAAGGAGGAACACUUUACAGUAGUGUUCCACACACUCUACCUCUAACUCCCAGUACUGAAUUUAGUGGAAGUCCAACCACAGUUCCUCCCACCCAAACAGACAGUUCCUUGUGAGUGUCUCAGAGGGACACUUAGACAGGACAGCCUCCUCAUUCACUGGUGAAAGAUUUUCCAGAGCCAAAGCUCUUGCUUCCAUGGCUGUCACCUGUAAGGGUUGCUGGUACCAGCUGCUUUUCUGAAGCCACUGCACCCUCCCCAUUCCCCUGCAGUAGUCUCCAUUGUGAGACCUCAGCCAGAGUGACCUUGUGCUCUAUUUCCCUUCAAUGGCUGAUGUUCUGGUGUCACUCCCUGUGCUGAAAGCCAAGCUGAUUUCUCCACAUCUCUGAGUAAUUCAGAUCAUUUUACAAUGAAUUAGCAAGUGAGUUUGUUAUUGCAGUGCGGAGGAGGAGGGAUGGGAAGCACUUUCAGAGUUUCUUUUAGUUUUCCCUGAGUCUACUGAGACCCCUGAAAGAAAACUUACUGCCUGUAGCUUGGAAAUGUUGCUGUGUAUCCAAGAAGCUGCCACUCUGCUCAUUGGCAAGGCUACAUCUAUGGCUAUAUCAAUCCACCUUUCUCAUCAUUGUCCUCAUACCGUGGAACUAGGACAGAGUCACCCAGAAGGAAGCAUGGGUACUGUAGUUUAUCCAAGGUCACUAGGCUAGUCUUUUGGUCCUGUGUAGCUAGGAUUGGCUGCGUAAUAUGUAGGGUGCAGUGCAAAAUAAAAAUGUCAGGCCUCUGUUGAAAAAUUAUUAAUAAUUUCUAAAUGGCAACAGGUGAGCAUCAAACCAAACUCAGGCCCUAUACAAUCAUACAAGUCAUGUGCUUAUGAAGCCAAAGCCAUUCUCAGCAUAGCUUUUAUUUGAAGCCUCUAGUUUUCACAGUGGAGUGGCUAAAAGAGGUAAGUUCUUUGAGGGUUGUGCAAGAAAGUUUAGGAAGGAGAGAUGACAGCUGGCUGCUUUUAGCAGGACAUUCUUUGUAAGUGGGUAGCACCUGUGGGUCACUAUGAAAAACAGGCGCCAUCCAAAGUACUUUCCAUAUGUUAAAUCAUUUCAUAUACAUACAUACACAUGAAUAAUGUGUAUCUAUUAAAUCGUGAAUCCUCACAACAACCAUUUAAAGUGGGUGCUGUUGUUUUUCUAUGCUUUUAUAGGUAAGGAAACCGAGGCACAAUAGAGUUAAAUGAAAUGCUGAUUUAAAGUUUGGUUCUCAACUUUCUAAUAGAAACCCUCUAUUGUUGAAGUGAACUUGGAGCUUACUAGACCAUGAGGGACUGAAUCAUGCUAAACUCACAGAAAAUUGAUGUAUAUGCAACAAAACAAAUUUAUUCCUAUAAAAUGAGAGGCACUACCGUCCCAGUAACUGAGAUAUUUAUUUCUAUGACCCAAGAUACCCCUUUUGAGUAUUAAGGUGCCUGGGGUGACUGAAGUAACAGUCAGAAGCUUGCUCAGUGAUCACAGAAUCAAAACAAAGCGAAUUGCAAAAUCUCAGGGGAGAUGCUGACCAAACAGAUAGAGUCUGAGAAAUCAUCCCUGUGCUUAAUACUUUUCUUCCUGGUGGAUGAAGUACUCUUGUCUGCUAAAUACAGGGUCUUAAUUCAUGCAUGGUGUUUAGUUCUCCUUUGCAGGAGUCAUCCCCACCACCUCAUGUCAAGUCAGUUACAGCACAACUGAAUAUGCUGCCCCCUUCUUAAUGUUGCUGUGCUCUGGUCUGGGGUGUGAUCCCAAACAUCAUGAUCCCAGCAGUAGCUGGUUUACAAACCAACUCUGAGGAUGCCACAUCCAUAGAAAACCUGUCGUUUUCUUCUGGUUUCCACUUCAAAGUGUGAACUGAAUCUGGGCCACCAUGUGCUCCCUAAACUUAGCAUUUAAGUAGCUCUGAUGAGCAGAAUGUUAAUGUGUUAAAAUGAGAUUAUGUUCGUUCCCUUACAAAUUUAGGAUAAAGAUGCUAGGCUGGCCCUUUGAAGGUAAAUUAACUCCUCAGAAGCACCUGCUUGUGUGGCAUUAAGUAAUCAAACAACAAAACUACACUUGGAUGGGUUUAAAGUGGGACUGAAAAAGUAGACAAAAAGUAGAUGACUUUUGCAUCAUCAGGGAAUUGAUUUUUUGCUUUGUUUGUAACUCUCCACUUGAAAGUUGUCUUUUUCCUGCCAAAUUCAGGGUGAUUCAUAAAACCAUCUUCUCUUAAUGUGAAGAGAAAUUGCUGGAGGUUGUUUUGAAGGGCAUCUUUGGGAACCACCUUAACAAGUAGCUGAAUAAGGAAGAGGAGGAUGAUGAUCGCUGACAUAAAAAAUGCUUACUAUAUAGGUGGCAGGCAUUGUGCUAACUGGAUUAAAUAUUAUUUUUUAACAACCCUAUGAGACUAUUCUCAUUGUACUGAGAGAAAACGGAUUUGGGGCCAGCAAUGGUGAGAGAAAAUGGUGAUGAUUCUUAAACUCUGAACUUCAAGCAUUAAGAAUUGGCUGCAAUAGAAAACUGGUCCUAGAUGGUCCCAAGUGGCCCAUCAUGAGCCAGAUACUAGUGGGGGAUAUAGGGAGGACCAGAGGCCACAGAGAACCACGUGAUGAAUGUAGAAGAAAGAGGGUUUUAAAAGGGCCAGGGCAGAGGUGUUCCUGUAGGAUUAGGCACACAUAGACCAAGCUCUCCUGAGAUCCCUCACUGAGAAGGAAUUGGAAAGAACACCAGAAUCAUGUACUCCCUAGUUCGAUGUGGAUAUUAAUUGUAACUGAUUAUGUGUAUACAUUUAUGCUGAAGUUAACUGUGAGUAAAUUGGUUGUAUGUCAUUCCUUGGUGUGUAUUUUGCCUUUCCUAUUCUUUUUUGUUCCAUUAUAAACUCGGGUUGCUAGAACCUCAUACGAUCCUGUGAGAGGUGGGAGUUAGCUGGUCACUCAGUCUUCUCCUCUUUCCUGGGAGGUGGUGGUUUAAUCAUAUCCAUUUGUAAAAGGGGAAAUGGUGGCUCAGAGGUCCUCAGUAAUUUCUACAGCUAGAUAAUUCAUGGGUGCAGAGUUCAGAUCUGGGGUUCAGACCCCUACAGUGUGUGUGGCAGGGAGUCUAGGCAAACAGCAACUCUCACCCGCAAGCACCCAACAAGGUUUGUCCUUGUUUUCAGUGGGCCUCCUACUUCCCUGAAAGGUCUAAUCUCAGCAACACAGUCUCAUUUAGCUUAUUGUUUUGGCUAUUUAUGUGCAAUAACUGUGAAAAGCAAGAAGAUGGGUUGCAAUUUCCUUACCUACUUGUUAUGUUCAAAUCAGCUCUUUGAAAGCAGAGUCAAGAUACAAUAAUAGUAAUAAUAACAAUAAUCAUUUAUAGUUAAAGCAUGGAAUCGAAUGGUGCUUCCAUAGCAUCCAUGUGUGUCAGGUGCUCUUUUAAGCAAGUUACAUUCAUUCAGUUUGUCCCACAUCUUCAUAAAACAAGGGGUGAAUUGUAUGAGGAAAAGGAUGCUAGAAUUUCAAUUUUGUCUUGCUCCAUUCCAUCUCUGAACUUCUCAAAAUGAAUUUUAGCAAGGCCUGACCUAUAUAGAAAUCUGUUUCUUAUACAUGGCUCCAAAAAUGGUCCUACUCUGAAGUCUGCAUUUUUGGCAAUGGGAGGUGCCAGACAAGAAGUGAGGGUCUGAGGCCCACCCUGGACUCCUCCAGGCCUAGUCAUCCUGGUGUGUUUCUCAGAAUCUAUGGUUCCUUCUCUCCUCCCUCCUCUUUUGCUUUCUUCCUGCCACAAAAUCUCUUUUUUUCAUCGUGAAGAGCCACAUGCCAAUUACUUUAUACAGCAACACCCCAUCCUCCUCUAGCUCUCCAGGGUCCAGGCUCUUGGGGCCCUCAUACAUGUUCCCACACCCUGGAAGGGUAGAGACCCCUCCGCCUCCUGGUGCCAGCAGAAGGGUGGGAGACCUACGUGCAGUCAAGUGGAGAAUUUGUCUCCCAGGGCCCAAAGAGACAUUCAACACCAAGCUCUGUGCGGCAAUUCCCCUCAUAAAUCUCAGCUCUAACUACAAAUUAUUUACACUAUCCAGUUUCACUUCCUUCUUCUCUCCCAUCGGAUUCAAAGGAUUUUAGACUUCAGAAAAACAUUGAGUCUGAAUUAAACAUCGGCAUGAACUUGAUCAACUUUAAGUCUCUCAUUUCACAUCAGAAGCCAGGAGUUGGGAGUGGCGGGGGCAGGGAUCAGAAGAUAUCUACAGACAAAAAGACAUUUAUAAAGCAAUAUAGUAUUAAAGAUGGAAAAGCCCACAUGAAAAACGCAGAGGCCAGCCCACCUCCCUGUGACACUAUUGCCCUUAAUCAUGGUACUGGGAUGGUAUAUCUCCAGAAGUUUGAAACAGGAAACAAAUAAUAUUUCAAAGUUUCCAGCAAGAAAGUAAUGACAGCUUUGGAGAGCAGCUGCAGCCACUUUCUUCCAUUAAGCCUUUGUCCCUCCCCUUGGCCUUGGCAGUGGGUCUAGGGCGCCAUGCGAUCCCUACAGCUUUCAUUACACCCAGUUCAAGAACCUGCUUGCAAGCGUCUCCUUGCCCAGCACACAAACAAACUUUAAAUGAUAAAGGAAAACACUGGCAGCAUGUUCCUGUGUUCUGAGGCAGGCCUGGGGCGGGGCUUUCCCAGAGUUUGUUGUGAGAGACAACCUGCUCUCCCACCAGGUGGAGAGGAGCCUGGACCAAGGUUGAAAAGCCAUGAGUCAGGCCUAGAGAAUUUCAGUUGCAACACCCUCUUGUAAGAGGCUGUUUAGUCAUAGCUGUUGCUUUCAAUGAAAAGGUCACCCACUCCAUAGUGAAUGGUUAUUUGCUGGCUGCUUCUCACACUGUUGCAAUUGUGAUCCUUUUGCAUCUUUGAUUGUCUUUCAUCGGAAAACUAUGACAUGCUUCAUUUUGUUUCCCAGGGUGGUAGCCACAGUCGGCGGUCAGUUGGCGAGCUGGCUACAUUCGAUGGUAUGCAAACAACUCGGUGGCAGCUUAAAGGGUGGGGUAGGCAGUGUGGCCCUCAAUGUGCAGUUCGAGUUUCCCAAGUUGAAGGCUCACAGAGUGAUUGGAAACCAGGAGAAAAAUUACUGUGGUCUGAGCAGGGAAGGAAGAAAGGUCCUGGACACUCGGCUUCUAGAGAGAUCCACGUGCGCCAUGCCGCAACUGCAUUCAGUGUCUUCCAGCUUCCAACUUGUUGUCAGCCUUCAGAGUGACUGACCCGGGGAGAUCAGCUGGGAGCCCCCUUACGACCUGUCAGCAUGCGCCCCGAGAAGACACCUUGGUCAAGCGUCUCUCAGCCUGGUCACACUUGCUGGCUUUUUUCAUUAUGGUCAUGGCUAAGAGGGAAGAGGAGAGUUGCCAAAUUUGACCUAUACUUCGACAUUAUAAUUUAGCCCAUUCAUUUUCCUCUUGAGGAUAAAUGUUAAAAGUCCAAUUUAUGGGAGGCCAAGGCGAGCGGUUCAUGAGAUCCAGAGAUCGAGACCAUCCUGGCUAACACAGUGAAACCCAGUCUCUACUAAAAAUAUAAAAAAUUAGCCGGGCGUGGUGGUGGGCGCCUGUAGUUCCAGCUACUUGGGAGGCUGAGGCAGGAGAAUGGCAUGAACCAGGGAGGCAGAGCUUGCAGUGAGCCAAGAUCUUGUCACGGCACUCCAGCCUGGGCUGCAGAGCGAGACUCUGUCUCAAACAAACAAACAAACAAAAAGUCCAAUUUGUUGGAGAAUUUUUUAGGAGGGAUGAAGGGAAUGGGGGAUUGGAAGAUAGGAAGUCAAAUGCGCUCUAAUCUUUUCUUGCUUUUUUCUAUGCUUUUUCUAUGUGGGACUUGUUGAAUGUUUAUUGCAAGCUCUUUA